GAUGAACGCUGGCGGCGUGCCUAAUACAUGCAAGUCGAGCGAACAGAUAAGGAGCUUGCUCCUUUGACGUUAGCGGCGGACGGGUGAGUAACACGUGGGUAACCUACCUAUAAGACUGGAAUAACUCCGGGAAACCGGGGCUAAUGCAGGAUAACAUGUUGAACCGCAUGGUUCUACAGUGAAAGGCGGCUUUGCUGUCACUUAUAGAUGGACCCGCGCCGUAUUAGCUAGUUGGUGAGGUAACGGCUCACCAAGGCAACGAUACGUAGCCGACCUGAGAGGGUGAUCGGCCACACUGGAACUGAGACACGGUCCAGACUCCUACGGGAGGCAGCAGUAGGGAAUCUUCCGCAAUGGGCGAAAGCCUGACGGAGCAACGCCGCGUGAGUGUUGAAGGUCUUCGGAUCGUAAAACUCUGUCAUUAGGGAAGAACAAAUGCGUAAGUAACUGUGCGCGUCUUGACGGUACCUAAUCAGAAAGCCACGGCUAACUACGUG
RNAcentral lists this ribosomal RNA (497 nucleotides) under uncultured bacterium. RNAcentral describes it as "partial 16S ribosomal RNA". It matches the Rfam family "Bacterial small subunit ribosomal RNA", at positions 28 to 507 of the family's 1533-position model. The record is from RNAcentral.